This 747-nucleotide long non-coding RNA is filed under the name Nicotiana benthamiana. RNAcentral describes it as "long non-coding RNA (NBEN_LNC011158)". The record is from RNAcentral. Lineage: Eukaryota; Viridiplantae; Streptophyta; Magnoliopsida; Solanales; Solanaceae.
GAUUCUAGACCUCCAGACCCCCUAUCCAGAGUCAUGUCCUCUGUAACCUGCAUUUUGGCCAUGUCCUGCCUAAUCACCUCUCCCCAAUGCUUCUUAGGCCUCCCUCUCCCUCGCCGACCACCAACAACCGCCAACCGCUCGCAGCUCCUCACCGGGGCAUCGGGACCCCUCCUCCGUACAUGCCCGAACCACCUCAGACUCGCUUCCCGCAUCUUCUCAUCCACCGGGGCCACCCCUACCUUCUGUCGAAUAACUUCAUUCUUAAUCUUAUCUAGCCUGGUGUGCCCACACAUCUACCGGGUCUAACCACAGCUCGGUAGAAUUUCCCUUUUAGUUUGUGCGGGAUUUUCUUGUCACACAGGACCCCUGAAGAAAGCCUCCACUUCAGCCACCCCGCACCUAUCCUAUGGGUGACGUCCCCGUCAAUCUCUCCGUCCCCCUGAAUCACAGACCCAAGAUAUCUCACACUGUCCCUCUUGGCGAUGGCUUGAGAACCAAGCAUCACUUCCCCGCCUACCCCACUCGGCUCGUCGCCAAACUUGCACUCCAGAUAUUCAGUCUUAGAUCUGCUUAUUUUUCACUUCCCCGCUUACCCCACUCGGCUCGUCGCCAAACUUGCACUCUAGAUAUUCUGUCUUAGAUCUGCUAAUCUUGAAACCCUUAGACUCAAGGGUCUGUCUCCAUAUCUCUAACCUUGCACUAACACCGGCCCUCGUCUCGUCUAUCAAUAUUAUAUCAUCGGCAAAG